Molecule: RNase P RNA, 409 nt
Filed under: Chlorobiota bacterium
Lineage: Bacteria; Pseudomonadati; Chlorobiota
Description: RNase P RNA component class A
Rfam family: Bacterial RNase P class A
About the family: Ribonuclease P (RNase P) is a ubiquitous endoribonuclease, found in archaea, bacteria and eukarya as well as chloroplasts and mitochondria. Its best characterised activity is the generation of mature 5'-ends of tRNAs by cleaving the 5'-leader elements of precursor-tRNAs. Cellular RNase Ps are ribonucleoproteins.
Source: RNAcentral
CGGGAGGUCCGUGCAGCCGCGCCGGCGCUGCAUAUAAGCCGGUGAGGAAAGUCCGGACACCACCACGUAGCGUGCUCGAUAACGUCGAGGCGGCAAUGCCUGCGAGCAAAGCCGACGGAAAGUGCCACAGAAACGACACCGCCACUGCCACCAUCGGCAGUGGUAAGGGUGAAAUGGUGCGGUAAGAGCGCACCGCACACGUGGUGACACGUGUGGCAGGGCAAACCCCACGCGGUGCAAGACCAAGUAGAUGCGGAUGUCCUGCGCGUGGCAGGCGCUUCUCCUCCGAGAGAAGCACGCAUCGGGUAGGUCGCACAAGAGGCUCGCAGUAAUGCGAUGCCCAAGGUACAUGGCUGCACGUGCUUCACAAAAGCACCGACAGAAUCCGGCUUACAGGACCUUUCGCCAA